RNAcentral lists this ribosomal RNA (429 nucleotides) under Gemmatimonadota bacterium. RNAcentral's name for it is "Gemmatimonadetes bacterium partial 16S ribosomal RNA". It matches the Rfam family "Bacterial small subunit ribosomal RNA", at positions 355 to 776 of the family's 1533-position model. Lineage: Bacteria; Pseudomonadati; Gemmatimonadota. The record is from RNAcentral.
UAGGGAAUCUUCGGCAAUGGACGAAAGUCUGACCGAGCAACGCCGCGUGAGUGAAGAAGGUUUUCGGAUCGUAAAACUCUGUUGUUAGAGAAGAACAAGGACGUUAGUAACUGAACGUCCCUUGACGGUAUCUAACCAGAAAGCCACGGCUAACUACGUGCCAGCAGCCGCGGUAAUACGUAGGUGGCAAGCGUUGUCCGGAUUUAUUGGGCGGAAAGCGAGCGCAGGCGGUUUCUUAAGUCUGAUGUGAAAGCCCCCGGCUCAACCGGUAAGGGUCAUUGGAAACUGGGAGACUUGAGUGCAGAAGAGGGGAGUGGAACUCCAUGUGUAGCGGUGAAAUGCGUAGAUAUAUGGAGGAACACCAGUGGCGAAGGCGGCUCUCUGGUAUGUAACUGACGCUGAGGCUCGAAAGCGUGGGGAGCAAACAGG